This 253-nucleotide ribosomal RNA is filed under the name uncultured bacterium. Its description in RNAcentral is "partial 16S ribosomal RNA". It matches the Rfam family "Bacterial small subunit ribosomal RNA", at positions 524 to 776 of the family's 1533-position model. The record is from RNAcentral.
UACAGAGGGUGCGAGCGUUAAUCGGAAUUACUGGGCGUAAAGGGUGUGUAGGUGGUUGUAUAAGUUAGAUGUGAAAGCCCCGGGCUCAACCUGGGAACUGCAUUUGUGACUGCACGGCUGGAGUGCGGCAGAGGGGGAUGGAAUUCCGCGUGUAGCAGUGAAAUGCGUAGAUAUGCGGAGGAACACCGAUGGCGAAGGCAAUCCCCUGGGCCUGCACUGACGCUCAUGCACGAAAGCGUGGGGAGCAAACAGG